GAUGCUGAACCAAUGAACUGUGCGUCGUAAGCGGAUUUUGCGGAGUAGUUACCAUCUGCAGUAAGCUUCCAAGUGAUAUCAUCUUGGACACUCGGGCGCAGGGCUACCUGUUGUACGACUUGCCAUAGAAGGACGUAUUCUCGGAAGUGUUGCACAGAGAAUCUACUGUGGUGUAUGUUGAUGUCCCGGAUCCAAGUUCGGUUGUGAAGCGCGUCACGUAAACUCCUAUUCUUCCUUUUUGAAAUGGAGAAAAUACUUGGCGCUAUGUCCUUUGGCCUUUGGCC
RNAcentral lists this long non-coding RNA (284 nucleotides) under Setaria italica (foxtail millet). RNAcentral describes it as "long non-coding RNA (SITA_LNC004019)". Lineage: Eukaryota; Viridiplantae; Streptophyta; Magnoliopsida; Poales; Poaceae. The record is from RNAcentral.